RNAcentral lists this ribosomal RNA (497 nucleotides) under uncultured bacterium. Its description in RNAcentral is "partial 16S ribosomal RNA". It matches the Rfam family "Bacterial small subunit ribosomal RNA", at positions 28 to 507 of the family's 1533-position model. The record is from RNAcentral.
GAUGAACGCUGGCGGCGUGCCUAAUACAUGCAAGUCGAGCGAACGGACGAGAGGCUUGCUUCUCUGAUGUUAGCGGCGGACGGGUGAGUAACACGUGGAUAACCUACCUAUAAGACUGGGAUAACUUCGGGAAACCGGAGCUAAUACCGGAUAAUAUUUUGAACCGCAUGGUUCAAAAGUGAAAGACGGUCUUGCUGUCACUUAUAGAUGGAUCCGCGCCGCAUUAGCUAGUUGGUAAGGUAACGGCUUACCAAGGCAACGAUGCAUAGCCGACCUGAGAGGGUGAUCGGCCACACUGGAACUGAGGCACGGUCCAGACUCCUACGGGAGGCAGCAGUAGGGAAUCUUCCGCAAUGGGCGAAAGCCUGACGGAGCAACGCCGCGUGAGUGAUGAAGGUCUUCGGAUCGUAAAACUCUGUUAUUAGGGAAGAACAUAUGUGUAAGUAACUGUGCACAUCUUGACGGUACCUAAUCAGAAAGCCACGGCUAACUACGUG